GCCGGGCGUGGUGGCGCACGCCUGUAAUCCCAGCACUUUGGGAGGCCGAGGUGGGUGGAUCACUUGAGGUCAGGAGUUUGAGACCAGCCUGGCCAAUAUGGUGAAACCCCAUCUCUA
RNAcentral lists this small RNA (117 nucleotides) under Papio anubis (olive baboon). RNAcentral's name for it is "Metazoan signal recognition particle RNA (ENSPANG00000042129.1)". It matches the Rfam family "Metazoan signal recognition particle RNA". Rfam says of the family: The signal recognition particle (SRP) is a universally conserved ribonucleoprotein. It is involved in the co-translational targeting of proteins to membranes. The record is from Rfam by way of RNAcentral. RNAcentral also lists the same sequence under 1 other name. Lineage: Eukaryota; Metazoa; Chordata; Mammalia; Primates; Cercopithecidae.